Long non-coding RNA from Girardinichthys multiradiatus, 1030 nucleotides. RefSeq lists it as uncharacterized. The record is from RefSeq and is a predicted model, not a curated record. Lineage: Eukaryota; Metazoa; Chordata; Actinopteri; Cyprinodontiformes; Goodeidae. The transcript is spliced from 2 exons.
UAUGGAAAUUAAUGGACACUGCUGUAAAAUAUGAGCUAGAGGAAAAUUUUGCCUCCCACCCCCUCAGUAGGACGAUAUAUGUUGUAGCUGUAUUUGCAGGAUGCUGUUUGACACAGUGAACCUAAAGGAAAACCACUGCCCAUUUUGAAAUGAGCCUGAACACACCACUGAGGGACACCCAGCAAGAGAUCGCAGCACAGAGCGACAGUCUGCAAGGAACCAAAAGCAACCAAGAUGUGGUGAGUGCAAUGAAGGCUAUUUCCCAACCUGUGUCAGAUAGAAGCACUGGCUGCAAAGAUGUUUCUUUUAACACCGUAAAAGGAUAGUGGAGUCAGAAUCAAGGCUCUCUGAGAGCUACAACACAAGAGUUUAAGCUUUACCUUCUGAAAAUGUUUGCCAGCCGUGCAUUGUUUGUCAAGGCUGCUGAUCUCUGUGUGCAGAGUGUGCCUCAUUGCUUCUGUUGGAUGCAUACCUAUUAGACUAAAUCCAAAAUCUAAUGAACUUUUUUCCCUUUCUCACUGCAUGAAUUAUGUUCAAGCACUGUUGGUUAAAGAAGAGCAAGGAUAGCUCAAUUUAGAAUAAAAAAAUGCCAAGUAAAUGUGCUUUGGGAGCAUAUUCUAUUAUAAAAUCAGAGAAAGGGGCUUUUAAAAAUCAAAGCACAGUUAUUUUGUUGUUUUGUACAUUGUAUGUUUUGUUAGAGUUGUUGUCAAAACGUCAUUAAACAUUUGUAUUUUCUUUCUUGCACAAAAUGUGAUAGAUAGAUCAAAGUAGCUGAAAGCAUGUAUAAAUACUUCUUAUCUACUAAUAGAAGAACACUAGACAGCAUUUUAUGAAUUUCUCACUAUAGUCCUAAUAUCUUCCUAAGGGGUUGUUGAGAUUUUUUCUCUCAUAUCUUUUUAGCCUCUGUUUGCAUGUUACACCAUGUGUGCAGACAGAAAAUAAUUUUUCUCAACUAACACAAAGCAUAAUUACACAGCGCUUUCCUUCAUAUUUCAGACACUACAAAUUUAAAUAAACAUUUAUACUUAAA